This 497-nucleotide ribosomal RNA is filed under the name uncultured bacterium. Its description in RNAcentral is "partial 16S ribosomal RNA". It matches the Rfam family "Bacterial small subunit ribosomal RNA", at positions 28 to 507 of the family's 1533-position model. The record is from RNAcentral.
GACGAACGCUGGCGGCGUGCCUAAUACAUGCAAGUAGAACGCUGAAGAGAGGAGCUUGCUCUUCUUGGAUGAGUUGCGAACGGGUGAGUAACGCGUAGGUAACCUGCCUUGUAGCGGGGGAUAACUAUUGGAAACGAUAGCUAAUACCGCAUAACAAUGGAUGACACAUGUCAUUUAUUUGAAAGGGGCAAUUGCUCCACUACAAGAUGGACCUGCGUUGUAUUAGCUAGUAGGUGAGGUAACGGCUCACCUAGGCGACGAUACAUAGCCGACCUGAGAGGGUGAUCGGCCACACUGGGACUGAGACACGGCCCAGACUCCUACGGGAGGCAGCAGUAGGGAAUCUUCGGCAAUGGGGGCAACCCUGACCGAGCAACGCCGCGUGAGUGAAGAAGGUUUUCGGAUCGUAAAGCUCUGUUGUAAGUCAAGAACGAGUGUGAGAGUGGAAAGUUCACACUGUGACGGUAGCUUACCAGGAAGGGACGGCUAACUACGUG